GCCAGCAGCCAUAUCACCCUGCAACUCACAGCUACUGUAGCAACCCAGUGAAGCUCAGCAGGUGUGAGCCUAGUCACUACCUGGAUUGGAGACCUCCUGGGAAAAACUAAGGUUGCUGCUGGAA
Ribosomal RNA from Lepisosteus oculatus (spotted gar), 124 nucleotides. The record is from Ensembl. Lineage: Eukaryota; Metazoa; Chordata; Actinopteri; Semionotiformes; Lepisosteidae.